CAUCUCUAUGAUGAAUAAUUUUUUAGAAUUAAAAGUAGUGGACUGAUUUCUGAUGAGAAACAUAUCAUAUUUCUGAGGGAUG
RNAcentral lists this small nucleolar RNA (82 nucleotides) under Amborella trichopoda. RNAcentral's name for it is "Small nucleolar RNA R21". It matches the Rfam family "Small nucleolar RNA R21". Rfam says of the family: snoR21 is a member of the C/D class of snoRNA which contain the C (UGAUGA) and D (CUGA) box motifs. Most of the members of the box C/D family function in directing site-specific 2'-O-methylation of substrate RNAs. The record is from Rfam by way of RNAcentral. Lineage: Eukaryota; Viridiplantae; Streptophyta; Magnoliopsida; Amborellales; Amborellaceae.